Molecule: ribosomal RNA, 253 nt
Filed under: uncultured bacterium
Lineage: Bacteria
Description: partial 16S ribosomal RNA
Rfam family: Bacterial small subunit ribosomal RNA
Source: RNAcentral
UACGUAGGGGGCAAGCGUUGUCCGGAUUUAUUGGGCGUAAAGCGCGUGUAGGCGGUCCGGUAAGUCCGCUGUGAAAGUCGGGGGCUCAACCCUCGAAUGCCGGUGGAAACUGUCGGGCUAGAGUACGGAAGAGGCGAGUGGAAUUCCUGGUGUAGCGGUGAAAUGCGCAGAUAUCAGGAAGAACACCCGUGGCGAAGGCGGUUCUCUGGGACGGUACUGACGCUGAGACGCGAAAGCGUGGGGAGCGAACAGG